AGUAUCCAGCAGGCAGCUUCAGCCGAAUUGAAGGCCAAUGGAGAAAUCACAUAUUACCAAACAUGAAGAAUUUAAACCAGCCUUUUGCAAGAGCCAAAUUUCGUUUUGGACCCAUCAAGUGAAUCUGGACCAGGGAUGAAGAAUAAACUCGUUUAUCAUCUGAAGUUGCUAAUUAUAUGCUGGAUCAAGGAUUAACAAUUGUCUAUUCUGGGUUGAUUCUAUAUUUCUAGUCUUACGGGCAAAUUGAGCUGACAUUUACUUGUGCCUUCUCUGUGGUAAAUGCUGUAGCAAAGAGUUUGUGUACAACAUCAAUGUUGGCAGGGUUUAACAAAUUGUUAAUUCAUAUAUUCUUUCAGGCACAUUGGUGGAAGAAAAAACCUCCUUCUUGCAAGACAUUUGGCGACCAAAAAGAAAAAAAAAGGCAGUAGUGGAAUUCAUCAAACCACAUUCUUGCUGGUGCAUUGGAGAUAUUCAUGCCACCUCUGCAGUAGAAAAACAUUCUUUAUCUUGACAUCUUCUAUUAACUUGUUAAAUCAAGCUGGUCUCAAAAUGCUGUCACCAGAAUAAAUAUAUUUAUGAAAGUUCAUCUUAACUACAUGCUGAAUAUAUUGCAAAUUUAUAAGUAGA
Molecule: long non-coding RNA, 627 nt
Organism: Octopus bimaculoides (California two-spot octopus)
Lineage: Eukaryota; Metazoa; Mollusca; Cephalopoda; Octopoda; Octopodidae
Source: RefSeq, a predicted model, not a curated record